This is a long non-coding RNA of Stomoxys calcitrans (stable fly), 645 nucleotides long. RefSeq lists it as uncharacterized. The transcript is spliced from 2 exons. Lineage: Eukaryota; Metazoa; Arthropoda; Insecta; Diptera; Muscidae. The record is from RefSeq and is a predicted model, not a curated record.
GAAGUUCAUUACAAAUAUUCUUUCUUUAAAUAAAUUCUUUUAUUAUUCAAACUCAAUUUCAUCUUUAUUCCACAAUUCUAAGAGCGUUCCACUAGCAAAGGGAUCAAAUAAAAUUAUUGUAACUAGAGCUCAAUCACCACAAGGACGAUUUUUGUACCCCUUUUUGAGGCUCUUCGAUAUUUGUGGGAUUUUCAGGUCAUUUGAAAAGGAAGAUUGUUGGCUACGAGGAAGGCGUUAUCAUCUUGGAGUGUGGCCGUUCAGAGUGCAUAUAGUAUGCUGCCAAGAUAGCCCAAUGGGCUUGACGUUAACCCCCGAAAGAUAAGGUUGGUGCUAUUCACCGAUAUGAGGUAAUUUGCCAUGAAAAUUUUAGCAACCGAAAAUGAAUUGGAUACAUAUUAAGAGUCUAAACCAAAUCCAUGAGUAAGAGAUCGCGUCAUGUUGUCUUACAUGUAUUUUAAAUGGGACUUUUAUGCCGCUGGCCUCUGACGCUUACGUCGGCAAUUUUUGUUUCCCAUAUGUAUAUUAAAAUAUUGACGCUGGCCCCUUAUCCUUUUAUUGGGUGUAGACUAAUACAUUGAAAUGUUAAUAUGAGAAAUGUUCGUCACUACUUAUUGUCACUAAAUAAAUACAUUGUAAAUAAAUGCA